RNA transcript from Branchiostoma belcheri (Belcher's lancelet), 1871 nucleotides. It is a transcript of the gene named nucleoporin p54-like, with no coding region annotated. The transcript has 15 exons. The record is from RefSeq and is a predicted model, not a curated record. NCBI's taxonomy places the organism in Eukaryota, Metazoa, Chordata, Leptocardii, Amphioxiformes, Branchiostomatidae.
AGGGUUUUUCCCUUCGUCAUCAUCAUCGCUCCAACAUGGCGUUCAAUUUUGGUGGCGCUAAGACCACGGCCAGCGUAGCGCCGCUUUUCGGCGGCUUCGGGACAACUACAACCUCGGCACCAUCCACAGGUUUCACGUUUGGUGGGUUUGGACAGACCACCACUUCAGCUCCAACGUUUGGGUUUGGAACGGCAACAACUUCUGCUCCUGCUUUUGGCACUGGCCUGGGUGCUACAGCCACCACCACAGCACCUUCUCUGUUUGGAGGAGGGCUUGGUUCCACCGCUCCAACCACAACUACCUCCAUAUUUGGAGGAGGAGCAUUCGGUACUCAGCAGCCAGCCCUAGGGGGCCUUGGGGCCACGACGUUUGGUGGAUUUGGCGCUCAGCAGCAACAGAAACCCGGUAUCUUCGCACAGCCGACCAGUGCACAGAAUAACGUCCUGUUGAACACGGCCACCGCCCUGUCCAUGCCGACGGUGUUCAACGAUGAACGAGACGCGGUCCUGGCCAGAUGGAACCAGCUGCAGGCCUUCUGGGGGACGGGGAAGGGCUACUACAACGGGACGGCCCCACCGGUGGAGUUCACGUCAGAGAACCACUUCUGCAGGUUUAAGGCUGUAGGGUACAGCUGUAUCCCCUCGGCGAGAGACGAGGAUGGUUUAGUGGCGCUGGACUUUAACAAGAAGGACCAGGAUGUGAGGAACGCGCAGCAGCAGCUGGUGGAGUCUCUACACAAGAUCCUGGGCAGUAAACCCACUCACAGUGUCAACGUGGAGACUGUCAGGCCUCUGCCAGGGGACAAGUCAGAAGUUGUCAUAUACAUCAUCGAGCGCAAUCCCAACGGCACGUCUCGGCGGAUCUCUGCCUCGGAACUCUUCAACUUCUUAAACCAGAACCACGUCAAGACGCAGCUAACCCAGCUGGGCGUGGUCAACAUGGUCGCCAAGACAACCCUCACCGCAGCACAGGUCAAACAGCUGACUGAUACCCCUCCUGCAGGCAUAGAUCCUCUGAUAUGGGAGCAGGCCAAAAAGGACAACCCUGAUCCUGAAAGACUGAUCCCAGUGCCCAUGAUCGGGUUUGGUGAACUUCACCGUCGACUGAAGCUACAGGAGUACCAGACUAAACAACACCAGGGGAGGCUGGAUGCCAUAGCAGGCAACAUCACAGGGAUCCAGGGUAACAUGUCCACCAUGCAGUCUAAGAUCCAGCAGUACAGAAGGAAGCUACAGGAGUUGUCACACAGGGUACUCGAGGUGCUGAUCCGCCAGGAGGCGUACCGAAAGAGCGGUUACGCCAUCCAGGCUGACGAGGAGCAGCUACGGGUACAGCUGGAGGCCAUACAGGUGGAGCUUAACGCCCCCAUGCAGUUCAAGGGUCGUCUGAAUGAGCUGAUGUCCCAGAUUCGGAUGCAGCAGAUGCCCAGUGGGAGGGCGGAGGACAGGUACAGCAUGGAGGCCACCAUGCAGGAGGAGCUCAGACAGCACCUGAAGCAGCAGCAGGAAGGUCUGACUCACCUCAUCAGCAUCAUCAAGGACGACAUGGAGGACCUCAAGGUCAUAGAACAGGGGCUGGCAGAGGUCACACAACACCACAGGAGAUAGCACAGAGUAGGCAAGGUCAUAGGACACAAGGUCAUAGAUCACAAGGUCAUAUAACACAAGGUCAUAGGACACAAGGUCAUAGAACACAAGGUCAUAGAACACAAGGUCAUAGCAAACAAGGUCAUAGAACACAAGGUCAUAGAACACAAGGUCAUAGAACAGGGGCUGGCAGAGGUCACACAACACCAUAGGAGAUAGCACAGAGUAGGCAAGGUCAUAGAACACAAGGUCAUAUAACACAAGGUCAUAGCAAACAAUGUCAUA